CCAGGGUGAGGUAGUAAGUUGUAUUGUUGUGGGGUAGGGAUAUUAGGCCCCAAUUAGAAGAUAACUAUACAACUUACUACUUUCCCUGG
Molecule: non-coding RNA, 89 nt
Organism: Macaca mulatta (Rhesus monkey)
Lineage: Eukaryota; Metazoa; Chordata; Mammalia; Primates; Cercopithecidae
Source: Rfam